AACGCUAGCUACAGGCUUAACACAUGCAAGUCGCGGGGCAGCAUUUCUUUAGCUUGCUAAGGAAGAUGGCGACCGGCGCACGGGUGAGUAACGCGUAUCCAACCUUCCCUUGUCCACGGGAUAGCCCGUCGAAAGGCGGAUUAAUACCGUAUGAGGUCACAUGCUGGCAUCAAGAUGUGACGAAAGGUUUGGCGGACAAGGAUGGGGAUGCGUCCGAUUAGGUAGUCGGCGGGGUAACGGCCCACCGAGCCGACGAUCGGUAGGGGUUCUGAGAGGAAGGUCCCCCACAUUGGAACUGAGACACGGUCCAAACUCCUACGGGAGGCAGCAGUGAGGAAUAUUGGUCAAUGGGCGUAAGCCUGAACCAGCCAAGUCGCGUGAGGGAAGACGGUCCUAUGGAUUGUAAACCUCUUUUGCCGGGGAGCAAGCCGGGUCUGCGGACCCGAGUUGAGAGUACCCGGAGAAAAAGCAUCGGCUAACUCCGUGCCAGCAGCCGCGGUAAUACGGAGGAUGCGAGCGUUAUCCGGAUUUAUUGGGUUUAAAGGGUGCGUAGGCGGAUUGUUAAGUCAGUGGUCAAAACGGGAGGCUCAACCUUCUGUCGCCAUUGAAACUGGCAGUCUUGAGUGAGCGAGAAGUAUGCGGAAUGCGUGGUGUAGCGGUGAAAUGCAUAGAUAUCACGAAGAACUCCGAUUG
Molecule: ribosomal RNA, 693 nt
Filed under: uncultured bacterium
Lineage: Bacteria
Description: bacterial SSU rRNA
Rfam family: Bacterial small subunit ribosomal RNA
Source: RNAcentral